Molecule: unclassified non-coding RNA, 301 nt
Organism: Callithrix jacchus (white-tufted-ear marmoset)
Lineage: Eukaryota; Metazoa; Chordata; Mammalia; Primates; Cebidae
Rfam family: Metazoan signal recognition particle RNA
About the family: The signal recognition particle (SRP) is a universally conserved ribonucleoprotein. It is involved in the co-translational targeting of proteins to membranes. The eukaryotic SRP consists of a 300-nucleotide 7S RNA and six proteins: SRPs 72, 68, 54, 19, 14, and 9.
Source: Ensembl
ACCAGGUACAGUGGUGCAUGCCUGUAGUCUCAGCUACUCAGAAGGCUGAGGCAGGAAGAUCACUUGAGCCCAGAGGUUGUGGGCUAUAGUACACUAUGCCCAUCGGGUGUCCACACUAAAUUCAGCAUGAAUAUGGUGAUCUCCCAGGAGUGAGGGACCAUUAGGUUGCCUAAUGAGGGGUGAACUGGCCCAGUUUGGAAACAGCAGGUCAAAACUUCCAUGCUGAUCAGUAGUAGGACUGCAUCUGUGAAAAGUCAAUGCGCUCCAGCCUGGGCAACACAGUGAGCCCCCCUGCCACUUU